GCAGGAAAACAUGACUUAGAGAUGUCUUGUGAACAUCAAUUUUUUGAAGUCAAUCAUAAAGUGUUUCAAGUGGUUUCUUUAAGGAUACACAAACACAGAGGAAACCCACAGUCGAGAACCUACAACUUCAGUAAAUCAGUAAACAGGAUCAUUACUUCUAAGUGUUUCAGAUUCUGAAUCAAGUGUUUCAUUCAAUUUUCCAAGUGGAAUAAUGCAUAUAGAGGAGAAUGCCAAACUGCAAAUAACCUGUAUUAGAAUGGCGUUCACAGUGCUUACGGCACUACAGUGAGACUGGCACUGCCAGUCAUCCUUCUUGCCCAUUUUGAAGACUGGGACAAUGUUAGCCAGCUUCCAGUCAGCUGGGACCUCUCCAGAUCCCCAAGACCAUUCAAAAAACAUUGACAGAGGCUUCACAAUGACAUCAGCUAGGUUUUUUGAGGAUUCUCAGUCAUACCCAUCAAGUCUGGUCAGUGCCAUUGAAGUACCCAUGAGCUGGUGCAGGAAUUAAGUGGGUCCCUGCGAAAAACAUCAAACCAUAUCACUCCCAAGAAUGUGUUGAUGAGUCCAGGACUGUAGAAGCAAAUAUGCAGAUGUGAGCUGAACAGAGAGAUCACGGGUCACGCCUGGCAUUCCUUGUUCAUCGCUGGAACCUACAGUCUUCUGAUUUUAUGCUAUUUAUAGGUGUGUUUUUUGUUUUGUAGAGUUCUUUUUGGCAAAAACGGGGCCAAAAAGUUAUGUUACGUUAUAGAUCCCCUCUAUUGGAUUUUCAAAGGUGAAAUUUUAUUUUAAGGUCAAAAUCAACAUUUCUAAAUUGGUAUAUAUGGGUGGAAUUUUUGCCAAAAAUUAGCUCACGAAAAGGAAUGGAGCUUUGCACCUUGGCUAAAGAAUCUGUAAAAAAGGUUUAUAUGUGUUAGGUGUUUUAGUAGCAAUACUAGCAGUAAUACUGUGCAUACUUUGGUGUGUGUGACAAAUGAUGGACAAAGCUAUCAAAAAAGUUUUUAUCAUACAAGAGAGAGAGAUAGGAAAUGGAUUCACAGAGGGCUCUCGAAAUCUUACAGAGAUAGUGGAUGAAGGUAGAGAGAUGGAGGAAGGCUUUGAAUUAAGACCUUGGAACCAGCAAGACUUUUUUGAACAAUGACUUGUAAUUGCUAUCACACAUGACUUAUGCACUUUGAAUUGACUGGACCUUCAUAGCAUUAAAAUUGCUGUGUUGUAAUAUAGCCAUGCUUAAUGUGAGCAAAAAUGAUGCUUUAAGCAAGUAAUAAGCAGAUGUAUUAUACGAAAGCUAUGAAAUGCAAUGUCGUUAAUAAACGACAAGGUUAUGACAGCUUCUUUUUAGUUGAACCGAGAGGGGGAAUUGUGGGAUUCCUUAAAAUCAGAGCAUUUUGGGCACGUUGCAAAAGGCAGGCCUCAGACACAGCACGAUGGUGAUUAGAGCUAAGCAGUAGCUAUAAGAUUUGUCAGCAGAAAGAUUAUACAAGAAGUAGAAAGAAAGGAGAAAUAAAAAAAUUGUCUGUGUAUUAACACUUGGGUAGAAUAACUCCCCUAAGUUGCAGGAAAGUAUAUCUGGUGAGAUAUUAGGAAGUUCUAAGCUUAAUAAUGGAGCUCUGUGCGUUGUAUCUUAAGGUUUACAAGCAAGCAUUGUAUUUGAAAUAAGCAAGCAUUGUUUUAACCAAAGGUACUUGUGCUUACAGUGGUUGGAUAGAAGUACUGUCAAUAUGCUUUUGUUUUGUGUGAUUGGUCAAAAAGCUUUUAAAAUAAGUUGUAACAUUAAGUUCUUGGUCUGCUGCCUGGGAUGUGAGCUGCUGGCAUCUUUCCACUCUCAUAACCAUGUAAUGAGACCGAUGCUAAGAAAUAAACAUCUCAAGACGCGU
This is a non-coding RNA of Taeniopygia guttata (zebra finch), 1874 nucleotides long. The record is from RefSeq and is a predicted model, not a curated record. NCBI's taxonomy places the organism in Eukaryota, Metazoa, Chordata, Aves, Passeriformes, Estrildidae.